Mesocricetus auratus (golden hamster) is the source of this 782-nucleotide long non-coding RNA. RefSeq lists it as uncharacterized. NCBI's taxonomy places the organism in Eukaryota, Metazoa, Chordata, Mammalia, Rodentia, Cricetidae. The transcript has 2 exons. The record is from RefSeq and is a predicted model, not a curated record.
CUUUGUCUGCCAUUGUAGGCAUGCAUGGGAGGGAGCCCAAACCCCGAGACCUCUCUCUGCAUCCAUGACUGUUUGCAGCUCCAGGCCUUCUUAGGAUCCAUCUCUCUUGCCUGCAAUCUCUCCAGCUCCUGCUCAGCAGCAAGACAAGGCUUUAAAGAAUUUCGUCCUGUCCUCUGUGAAUCCAGACUGACAAAGACACUCGGGGAAUGGUCCUGCCAGGGAAUCACUCUCAGAGACUGGCCUCAGACUGGAGCUUUGCCUGUAGGAUUCCAUUCGGUCUUUUCGGCCUUUCGUGGGGUUGGAACCCUGGGCAUGUGCGUGAUUGAGCAAUGAGAAAAUGGUGACCUGCGGUGUGAAGGGUCUCAAGUCUCCAGGUGUUGAGGGGAGGUCACAACCCCCCCCGCCCGCCCCCGCUAUCCUUGCGGGUUCUGACACUCCCCCCUCCACAGAUCUCUUGGGCUGACUUCAUCCGGGGACCAGCUCUCUAAGUCAAAAGAGGCUGGCUCCUUAGCUGCAGUAAGAGGCUGAGAGACCUGAUGAAAGGCGAUGGAUUCAAUCUUCCCCACAUCGUCACCUGGGACUCCAGCAGACGCAAACCGAUUAGGAAAAUGCGCGUUGAAAGCCUCCAGUAUAAUGGCCCGAAUCAUAGAAAACAUUUGGCCCGGAUGGAGGCGGAAAUCCCAUUUUCACCUAAGCUGCGGCCUUCAGGGAUUUCCCCUGCCCCCACCCCUCCCCCAUGUUUGAUAACCUUACCUCUUCCCCAAGACCAAUCAUUAGACUAA